RNAcentral lists this ribosomal RNA (198 nucleotides) under Triticum aestivum (bread wheat). RNAcentral describes it as "partial small subunit ribosomal RNA". Lineage: Eukaryota; Viridiplantae; Streptophyta; Magnoliopsida; Poales; Poaceae. The record is from RNAcentral.
UACGCGAGAGCAAUAGAGGUUGGGAUACAUCUAUCUCUUCUGAGCAACCUCUUUUGGAUUCUUAAGACCACCCUUGCAGUAGGAUACCAUCUGCUUUGGGGUGUCUCUCCUCUAGUGGUGUUAUGUGAACGUCGACUACAUGACACUUCACCAUUAUUUGUGCCUAGAGGAAGGCAUUGGGAAGUAAUAAGUAGAUGA